UCGAUGAAGUGACGAAAUUUUUUUCAUCUGAAUUUGAAGUGAGGGUGGAUCAAUUCUUAUCGUUUGCAAGUAGCCAAGAUACAGUUCGGAAUAAUGGGGGUAAGUUUCUCUGUCCAUGUAGUGUUUGUAAGAACAAUAGAUGUCUCUCGGGUAGAAGAGUUAUGAGUCAUCUGUUUAGUAAUGGAUUUAUGCCAGAUUAUUAUGUUUGGUAUAACCACGGAGAAGAAAUCAAUUUGGAUAUAGGAAGUAGUUACAUUGAUAGGACGCAUGAUGGGAGUCAUGAAGAAAUGGGUAAUGUAGUAGAAGAUCCAUAUGUGGAUAUGGUGAAUGAUGCAUUUCGUUAUAAUGUGGGUUUAGAUGAUAAUUAUCAUCAAAAUGAUAGUUAUGAGAAUGUGGAAGAACCGGUACAAAACCAUUCACAUAAAUUUUACGACUUGUUAGAUAGUGCAAAAACUCUUUUAUAUGAUGGUUGUUGUGAAGGUCACUUGCAAUUGUCAUUAGCUGCUCGAGUCAUGCAAAAUAAGGCGGAGUAUAAUAUGAGUGAAAAGUUAGUAGAUUCGGUUUGCGGAAUUUUGACAGAUUAUUUACCAGAAGGCAACCAGUCUACCGGUUCAAAUUACGAGACAGAGAAAUUGAUGCGUAAUUUAGGCCUUCCAUAUUAUACAAUUGAUGUUUGUAUUAACAAUUGUAUGAUUUUCUGGAAAGAAGACGAAAAGGAAGAGACAUGUCUAUUUGGUGGUUCACCAAGAUGGAAGCCUAAGGAGGACCGACGGAGAACAAGAGUAUCAUAUAGUCGUAUGUGGUAUCUACCUAUUGCUGAUAGGUUGAAGAGAAUGUAUCAGAGCCAAAAGACUGCAGCGGCAAUGAGAUGGCAUGCAGAACACCAAUAAAAAGAGGGUGUAAUGAAUCAUCCUUCUGAUGCGGCGGAGUGGAGAUAUUUCCAAGAGCUUAAUCCUUGGUUAUCAGAAGAACCCCAUCACGUCUACCUUAGAUUAUGUACCGAUGGGUUCAAUCCAUUUGGCAUGUCUCGUAAUCAUUCGCUGUGGCCUGUGAUCUUGACCUUAUAUAAUUUACCCCCUGGUAUGUGAAUGAAUAUGGAGUACUUGUUUCUUACAAUUCUGAAUUCUGCGCCAAAUCAUCCGCGAGCUAGCCUCGAUAUCUUCCUACAACCUCUUAUUGAGGAGUUAAAAGAGUUGUGGUCUACUGGAGUCGAUGCAUACGAUGUGUCUUUGAAUCAAAACUUUAAUCUAAAAGCAGUGCUGAUGUGGACGAUAAGCUACUUUCCGGCGUAUAGCAUAUUAUCGGGAUGGACCACCGACGGUAAAUUAUCUUGUCCAAUUUUCAUGGAAAGUACAAAGUCGUUUUAUCUACCCAAAGGAAGGAAGAUAUGUUGGUUUGAUUUUCACCGAAGAUUCUUGCCUCAUGGUCAUCAAUUAAGGAAGAACAAAAAAGAUUUCCUGAAGGGAAGAGACGGUUCUAACAACUAUCCACCGCAGUCUUUAACUGGUGAGCAAGCUUAUUACGAGCGUUUGAAAUGUGUAAAAAACCAGGGAAGUCGGUGGUAACGGUCAUGAAAAGAAGAUGCCAGGCUAUGGAAAGGAACAUAAUUGGCACAAAGAAAGCUUAUCAUGGUCGCUACCUUAUUGGAAAGACCCAAUCUCCGACAUAAUAUUGAUGUGAUGCAUACCGAGAAGAAUUUUGUGGACAACAUCUUGUAUACUCUUAUGAGUGUACAUGGUAAAUCUAAAGACAACAUCAUGUCAAGAUUGGACAUAGAACAAUUUUGUUCUCGACCACACUUACAUAUUGAUAGGAAGGGUAAAGCUCCAUUCCCAGCAUAUACAUUGACAAAGGAAGCCAAAACAAGUUUAUUGGAAUGUGUCAAGCAUGCGGUGAAAUUUCCAGAUGGUUAUUCGUCAGACUUGGCUAGUUGUGUUGAUUUGAUCAAUGGCAAGUUUUCAGGAAUGAAGAGUCAUGAUUGCCAUGUUUUUAUGGAGCGACUUCUUCUAUUUAUCUUCACAAAACUCCUAGACCGAAACGUUCACCUUGCAUUAUCAGGGAUUGGAGCAUUUUUCAGGGACUUAUGCUCAAGAACAUUGCAAAAAAAUCGCAUUCAAAUUCUUAAACAUAACAUUGUUUUGAUCUUAUGCAACUUAGAAAAGAUAUUUCCACCAUCAUUUUUUGAUGUGAUGGAGCACCUGCCUAUACAUUUCCCAUAUGAAGCAGAAUUGGGAGGCCCUGUCCAAUAUAGGUGGACGUAUCCUUUUGAAUUUUUUUUCAAAAAGUUGAAAGGAAAAGCGAAGAACAAAAGAUAUGCGGCUGGAUCAAUCGUUGAGUCAUAUAUCAAUGACGAUAUUGCUUACUUCUCUGAGCACUACUUUGCCGAUGAUAUACAAAGAAAAUCAAGGUUAACAAGAUUCUAUGAAGGUUGAAGUCCCAAUACAUCAUGUCCCUGGAGUCCCUAAUAUAUUUACUCAUGUCGGUCGUCCAAGUGGGGAAAUGCAUGAAGUAUGGCUUUCAGAGAGAGACUAUUAGUACGCACAUGCAUAUGUUUUAUGGAAUUGUGACUAUUUUCAACCAAUUAAGAGUAUGUUCGAGGAUUUUCUUUCUACCAAAUAUCCUGAAUUAACCGAAAAAGAACUUUCCACGAAAAGAGCUGAAGAAUAUCAUGUGUGGGUGAAAGAUUAUGUUAUAUACUGGAACACCACAAAUCCAUUUUCUACUUGGGUUCAAGAGAUAGUGCAUGGACAUUUACACAAGGUCAAAACUUGGCCAAUAUACUUUACAAGAGGCUAUGUGUUUCAUACGCAGAAUCACGGUGCUGGACGAAAGACAUGUAACUAUGGUGUAUGUGUUAAAGGUGAAAAUUACACUGAUGCAUCUAAUGGUACAGAUUUCUAUGGGAACUUAACUGAUAUCAUAGAACUUGAGCACGAAGGGAUGACCAAUUUGAAAAUCACACUUUUUAAGUGUAAGUGGUAUGAUCUUGUCAUUGGUAGAGGGACUCGGAAGAGCAAUAGUGGCGUUGUUGACGUGAACUCUUCGAGAAAAUUCAACAAAUAUGAGCCAUUCAUUUUAGCAUCUCAAGCAGAUCAAGUUUGCUAUAUUCCGUAUCCAUACACAAAGAAACCAAAGCGGGAGUGGCUAAGUGUUCGGAAACUAAAUCCGAGGGAAAACAUUUCAGGAGAAUAUGAAAACAAUGAACCGACUUUGUUGCAAACAGAAAAUGAUGAUGCUGUAUUGAUGACUACAGUUGAAGAUCUCAUAGUCGAUAGUUUGGUAGAAGACACUAAUCCAAUAAACCUUGAUCGUAAGAUGAAUUGCAGUGUAAUUUAUCAUCUUCUGAUGAUGAAGAACA
Camelina sativa (false flax) is the source of this 3358-nucleotide non-coding RNA. NCBI's taxonomy places the organism in Eukaryota, Viridiplantae, Streptophyta, Magnoliopsida, Brassicales, Brassicaceae. The record is from RefSeq and is a predicted model, not a curated record.